GAUGAACGCUGGCGGCGUGCCUAAUACAUGCAAGUCGAGCGAACAGAUGAGGAGCUUGCUCCUCUGACGUUAGCGGCGGACGGGUGAGUAACACGUGGAUAACCUACCUAUAAGACUGGGAUAACUUCGGGAAACCGGAGCUAAUACCGGAUAAUAUAUUGAACCGCAUGGUUCAAUAGUGAAAGACGGUUUUGCUGCCACUUAUAGAUGGAUCCGCGCCGCAUUAGCUAGUUGGUAAGGUAACGGCUUACCAAGGCAACGAUGCGUAGCCGACCUGAGAGGGUGAUCGGCCACACUGGAACUGAGACACGGUCCAGACUCCUACGGGAGGCAGCAGUAGGGAAUCUUCCGCAAUGGGCGAAAGCCUGACGGAGCAACGCCGCGUGAGUGAUGAAGGUCUCCGGAUCGUAAAACUCUGUUAUUAGGGAAGAACAAAUGUGUAAGUAACUAUGCACGUCUUGACGGUACCUAAUCAGAAAGCCACGGCUAACUACGUG
Molecule: ribosomal RNA, 497 nt
Filed under: uncultured bacterium
Lineage: Bacteria
Description: partial 16S ribosomal RNA
Rfam family: Bacterial small subunit ribosomal RNA
Source: RNAcentral